AAAUUGAAGAGUUUGAUCAUGGCUCAGAUUGAACGCUGGCGGCAGGCCUAACACAUGCAAGUCGAACGGUAACAGGAAGCAGCUUGCUGCUUUGCUGACGAGUGGCGGACGGGUGAGUAAUGUCUGGGAAACUGCCUGAUGGAGGGGGAUAACUACUGGAAACGGUAGCUAAUACCGCAUAACGUCGCAAGACCAAAGAGGGGGACCUUCGGGCCUCUUGCCAUCGGAUGUGCCCAGAUGGGAUUAGCUAGUAGGUGG
Molecule: ribosomal RNA, 258 nt
Filed under: Escherichia coli
Lineage: Bacteria; Pseudomonadati; Pseudomonadota; Gammaproteobacteria; Enterobacterales; Enterobacteriaceae
Description: partial 16S ribosomal RNA
Rfam family: Bacterial small subunit ribosomal RNA
Source: RNAcentral